UGGCUUAGUGGUAGAGCGCUUGCCUUACAUGCCUGAGGCCCUGGGUUCAAUUCCUUG
This 57-nucleotide transfer RNA is filed under the name Dipodomys ordii (Ord's kangaroo rat). It matches the Rfam family "tRNA", at positions 8 to 63 of the family's 71-position model. From Rfam's summary of the family: Transfer RNA (tRNA) molecules are approximately 80 nucleotides in length. Their secondary structure includes four short double-helical elements and three loops (D, anti-codon, and T loops). Lineage: Eukaryota; Metazoa; Chordata; Mammalia; Rodentia; Heteromyidae. The record is from Rfam by way of RNAcentral.